GAUGAACGCUGGCGGCGUGCCUAAUACAUGCAAGUCGAGCGAACGGACGAGAAGCUUGCUUUUCUGAUGUUAGCGGCGGACGGGUGAGUAACACGUGGAUAACCUACCUAUAAGACUGGGAUAACUUCGGGAAACCGGAGCUAAUACCGGAUAAUAUUUUGAACCGCAUGGUUCAAAAGUGAAAGACGGUCUUGCUGUCACUUAUAGAUGGAUCCGCGCUGCAUUAGCUAGUUGGUAAGGUAACGGCUUACCAAGGCAACGAUGCAUAGCCGACCUGAGAGGGUGAUCGGCCACACUGGAACUGAGACACGGUCCAGACUCCUACGGGAGGCAGCAGUAGGGAAUCGUCCGCAAUGGGCGAAAGCCUGACGGAGCAACGCCGAGUGAGUGAUGAAGGUCUUCGGAUCGUAAAACUCUGUUAUUAGGGAAGAACAUAUGUGUAAGUAACUGUGCACAUCUUGACGGUACCUAAUCAGAAAGCCACGGCUAACUACGUG
Molecule: ribosomal RNA, 497 nt
Filed under: uncultured bacterium
Lineage: Bacteria
Description: partial 16S ribosomal RNA
Rfam family: Bacterial small subunit ribosomal RNA
Source: RNAcentral